RNAcentral lists this ribosomal RNA (460 nucleotides) under uncultured bacterium. RNAcentral's name for it is "partial 16S ribosomal RNA". It matches the Rfam family "Bacterial small subunit ribosomal RNA", at positions 338 to 795 of the family's 1533-position model. The record is from RNAcentral.
CCUACGGGAGGCAGCAGUGAGGAAUAUUGGUCAAUGGACGAGAGUCUGAACCAGCCAAGUAGCGUGAAGGAUGACUGCCCUAUGGGUUGUAAACUUCUUUUAUAUGGGAAUAAAAUGUUCCACGUGUGGGAUUUUGUAUGUACCAUAUGAAUAAGGAUCGGCUAACUCCGUGCCAGCAGCCGCGGUAAUACGGAGGAUCCGAGCGUUAUCCGGAUUUAGUGGGUUUAAAGGGAGCGUAGGUGGAUUGUUAAGUCAGUUGUGAAAGUUUGCGGCUCAACCGUAACAUUGCAGUUGAAACUGGCAGUCUUGAGUACAGUAGAGGUGGGCGGAAUUCGUGGUGUAGCGGUGAAAUGCUUAGAUAUCACGAAGAACUCCGAUUGCGAAGGCAGCUCACUGGACUGCAACUGACACUGAGGCUCGAAAGUGUGGGUAUCAAACAGGAUUAGAUACCCCAGUAGUC